GGGGCCGUAGCUCAGUCGGGAGAGCGCGUCGUUCGCAAUGACGAGGUCAGGGGUUCGAUUCCCCUCGGCUCCACCA
Molecule: transfer RNA, 76 nt
Filed under: Sediminimonas qiaohouensis
Lineage: Bacteria; Pseudomonadati; Pseudomonadota; Alphaproteobacteria; Rhodobacterales; Roseobacteraceae
Also listed under: 18 other names
Description: tRNA-Ala
Rfam family: tRNA
About the family: Transfer RNA (tRNA) molecules are approximately 80 nucleotides in length. Their secondary structure includes four short double-helical elements and three loops (D, anti-codon, and T loops). Further hydrogen bonds mediate the characteristic L-shaped molecular structure. tRNAs have two regions of fundamental functional importance: the anti-codon, which is responsible for specific mRNA codon recognition, and the 3' end, to which the tRNAs corresponding amino acid is attached (by aminoacyl-tRNA synthetases). tRNAs cope with the degeneracy of the genetic code in two manners: having more than one tRNA (with a specific anti-codon) for a particular amino acid; and 'wobble' base-pairing, i.e. permitting non-standard base-pairing at the 3rd anti-codon position.
Source: RNAcentral